UACGAAGGGGGCUAGCGUUGUUCGGAAUCACUGGGCGUAAAGCGCACGUAGGCGGAUGUGCCAGUCAGGGGUGAAAUCCCGGAGCUCAACUUCGGAACUGCCUCUGAUACAGCACGUCUUGAGUCCGGAAGAGGUGGGUGGAAUUCCUAGUGUAGAGGUGAAAUUCGUAGAUAUUAGGAAGAACACCGGUGGCGAAGGCGGCCCACUGGUCCGGUACUGACGCUGAGACGCGAAAGCGUGGGGAGCAAACAGG
RNAcentral lists this ribosomal RNA (253 nucleotides) under uncultured bacterium. RNAcentral describes it as "partial 16S ribosomal RNA". It matches the Rfam family "Bacterial small subunit ribosomal RNA", at positions 524 to 776 of the family's 1533-position model. The record is from RNAcentral.